UGGCGGCGUGCCUAAUACAUGCAAGUCGAACGCAUUGUGGUUGAAAUGAUAUGAAGAACUUGUUCAGAUUUGAUUUUCAACAUUGCAAUGAGUGGCGAACGGGUGAGUAACACGUGGGAAACCUACCUCUUAGCAGGGGAUAACAUUUGGAAACAAAUGCUAAUACCGUAUAAUAAUUAAAACCGCAUGGUUUUAGUUUAAAAGAUGGUCUUGCUAUCACUAAGAGAUGGUCCCGCGGUGUAUUAGUUAGUUGGUGAGGUAAUGGCUCACCAAGACAAUGAUACAUAGCCGAGUUGAGAGACUGACCGGCCACAAUGGGACUGAGACACGGCCCAUACUCCUACGGGAGGCAGCAGUAGGGAAUCUUCCACAAUGGACGAAAGUCUGAUGGAGCAACGCCGCGUGUGUGAUGAAGGGUUUCGGCUCGUAAAACACUGUUGUAAGAGAAGAAUGACAUUGAGAGUAACUGUUCAAUGUGUGACGGUAUCUUACCAGAAAGGAACGGCUAAAUACGUGCCAGCAGCCGCGGUAAUACGUAUGUUCCAAGCGUUAUCCGGAUUUAUUGGGCGUAAAGCGAGCGCAGACGGUUAUUUAAGUCUGAAGUGAAAGCCCUCGGCUCAACCGAGGAAUUGCUUUGGAAACUGGAUAACUUGAGUGCAGUAGAGGAAAGUGGAACUCCAUGUGUAGCGGUGAAAUGCGUAGAUAUAUGGAAGAACACCAGUGGCGAAGGCGGCUUUCUGGACUGUAACUGACGUUGAGGCUCGAAAGUGUGGGUAGCAAACAGGAUUAGAUACCCUGGUAGUCCACACUGUAAACGAUGAGUGCUAGUUGUUCGAG
Molecule: ribosomal RNA, 837 nt
Filed under: uncultured Weissella sp.
Lineage: Bacteria; Bacillati; Bacillota; Bacilli; Lactobacillales; Lactobacillaceae
Description: bacterial SSU rRNA
Rfam family: Bacterial small subunit ribosomal RNA
Source: RNAcentral